RNAcentral lists this ribosomal RNA (478 nucleotides) under uncultured bacterium. Its description in RNAcentral is "bacterial SSU rRNA". It matches the Rfam family "Bacterial small subunit ribosomal RNA", at positions 29 to 509 of the family's 1533-position model. The record is from RNAcentral.
AUUGAACGCUGGCGGCAUGCCUUACACAUGCAAGUCGAACGGCAGCACGGGAGCAAUCCUGGUGGCGAGUGGCGAACGGGUGAGUAAUAUAUCGGAACGUGCCCAGUAGUGGGGGAUAACUGCUCGAAAGAGCAGCUAAUACCGCAUACGACCUGAGGGUGAAAGCGGGGGAUCGCAAGACCUCGCGCUAUUGGAGCGGCCGAUAUCAGAUUAGCUAGUUGGUGGGGUAAAGGCCUACCAAGGCAACGAUCUGUAGUUGGUCUGAGAGGACGACCAGCCACACUGGGACUGAGACACGGCCCAGACUCCUACGGGAGGCAGCAGUGAGGAAUAUUGCACAAUGGGAGGAAUCCUGAUGCAGCGACGCCGCGUGCGGGAUGAAGGGGCUUAGCCUCGUAAACCGCUGUCGGAGGGGACGAAUGGGUACAUUUGAUGUACUGAGACGGUACCCUCAAAGGAGAUCGGCUAACUACGUGCC